UACGUAGGGGGCUAGCGUUGCUCGGAAUCACUGGGCGUAAAGCGCACGUAGGCGGGUCUUUAAGUCAGGGGUGAAAUCCUGGAGCUCAACUCCAGAACUGCCUUUGAUACUGGAAAGCUUGAGUUCGGGAGAGGUGAGUGGAACUGCGAGUGUAGAGGUGAAAUUCGUAGAUAUUCGCAAGAACACCAGUGGCGAAGGCGGCUCACUGGCCCGAUACUGACGCUGAGGUGCGAAAGCGUGGGGAGCAAACAGG
Molecule: ribosomal RNA, 253 nt
Filed under: uncultured bacterium
Lineage: Bacteria
Description: partial 16S ribosomal RNA
Rfam family: Bacterial small subunit ribosomal RNA
Source: RNAcentral